Molecule: ribosomal RNA, 468 nt
Filed under: uncultured bacterium
Lineage: Bacteria
Description: partial 16S ribosomal RNA
Rfam family: Bacterial small subunit ribosomal RNA
Source: RNAcentral
GACGAACGCUGGCGGCGUGCUUAACACAUGCAAGUCGAACGGAAAGGCCCUGCUUUUGUGGGGUGCUCGAGUGGCGAACGGGUGAGUAACACGUGAGUAACCUGCCCUUGACUUUGGGAUAACUUCAGGAAACUGGGGCUAAUACCGGAUAGGAGCUCCUGCUGCAUGGUGGGGGUUGGAAAGUUUCGGCGGUUGGGGAUGGACUCGCGGCUUAUCAGCUUGUUGGUGGGGUAGUGGCUUACCAAGGCUUUGACGGGUAGCCGGCCUGAGAGGGUGACCGGCCACAUUGGGACGGAGAUAAGGCCCAGACUCCUACGGGAGGCAGCAGUGGGGAAUAGUGCACAAUGGGCGGAAGCCUGAUGCAGCAACGCCGCGUGCGGGAUGACGGCCUUCGGGUUGUAAACCGCUUUCGCCUGUGACGAAGCGUGAGUGACGGUAAUGGGUAAAGAAGCACCGGCUAACUACGUG